Molecule: long non-coding RNA, 582 nt
Organism: Pseudonaja textilis
Lineage: Eukaryota; Metazoa; Chordata; Lepidosauria; Squamata; Elapidae
Source: RefSeq, a predicted model, not a curated record
GCUUGCAAGAGGAGCCGCUUCUCAAGUGUCAGCCAAGGGGAACGAAAUUCUGUGCAAAUCAAUUAUUGCAGGCUUUAAAAGAAGAAGAAGAAGAAGAAGAAGAAGAGGCCAACACCCACCGUCAGCCAAGCCAGCUCACCAACCCCACCCCGUCUUUCCCCUCCUUUCCUCGGCCCAUCACUUUGCUGGCUACCCAUCCAUCUAACUCUCCAGCCAACCAACUGGCCUCCUUCUUCUUUUUCAAAAUCCGCUCGUUCCCGUCAAGCCUGUAGACCCAGGACUACCUGAUCACCUGUAAUCCAGUUGCUGGGCUUGUGUGUUCUUGGAUUCAACCAAAAUCUGCUAGUGACACUACCUAUCUGGAAGCAAAUAUUGGGGCUCCCUCUGCCGCCAGGCUCUUCAGUCAACGUGCCUGAACCCGCCCUUCCACACAGAGUGGGGGACGCCAGUUUCUCAGCUAACAAAGCUUGGCUGGUUGGAAGGACGGGGGGCGUCGGGUCCAGCUCGCCUGUCGAUAGGCUGGCCUAACCAAUCGGGACUGGAAGGAUUCCUCUCUCGGCCGGCCCCUGACCGGACGUCUGG